AACUUUCGAGGUACGACUAUAUUGUACAGGACAGGCGGCCACCCUCUUCCACAGAGGGGAGCUGUGGGGGCACCAUGUUGUGAUUCACCUCGGUUCACCUGUCUUGGGCUGGCCCUGCUUGGGUGACUUUAAAAGAGGAUUGGACAAGUUCAUGGAGGAUAAGGCUGCUUGCCAUGAUGGCCACCAGUGAUGCUUUAUGAGUGCCAGUUGCUGGGAAUCGCAACUGGGGAGAGGUGCUCUUAUGCUUAGUUCCUGCUUGGGAGCUUCCUACAGCGGCAUCUACUUGUCCAGUGUGAGUACAGCUCCUGCCAACCUAGCAGCUUGAAAGCACGCCAGUGUAAGUAGAUAAAUAGGUACUGCUGUGGCAGGAAGGUAAAUGGCAUUUCCGUGCGCUCUGGUUUCCGUCACAGUGUCCCGUUGUGCCGGAAGCGGUUUAGUCAUGCUGGCCACAGGACCCGGAAAGCUGUCUGUGGACAAACGCCGGCUUCCUCGGCCUGAAAGUGAGAUGAGUGCCACAACCCCACAGUCGUUCAUGACUGGACUUAACUGUCAGGGGUCCUUUACCUUUAUCUUUACCUUUACCUUUACCUUUACAAUAGUUAAUAGCUAUAGAAACUGAGUUCUAAAAUUUGGGGGAAAUGCCCAUUCUAAUUAUUAUGCUCCAAUAAUUUGUUUACUCUUUAUGGUGCCAAAAUAUUCAUAAUUAAUAUUAAGAAUGCUUACCAAGGUCAGAUAUAUAACAAUAUCUGACAUACUCACAUGGGAAGCGUGAAAGCACAUCACUGUGCUCUUUGCAAUACUGCUUUUUACCCACUGAGUGGCAUCACAUUCAUGUCUAAGAAAUGUAAAUAUAGUUCUGCCUGAUUUCCUAAAGUGACGAAGUACAGGAAAGAGGAAGGAGUUAGUUUAGGAUGGAGGUGGAUAACUGGCAACCUAGGGCCCAGUCUGGAUGGCAAAUAAAUUAUAUCUGGUCUUUGCUAAUCCUACCAAAGUUGAUUCAAGCUACUGUAAACAGUUUGUUCACAAUUUUACUCAUAAGGAAAAUAACUAUGGAAAAUAUCUGUUUCCUAGAACAUAAACCUGCAGACAUACACUGCUGCAAAUAGUAUAUUUUUUUGGCUUCCACAGUAAUGGGAUUUGUAUUCUGAUAAUUCACGGGGGGGGGGAGAGGUUGUUUGUGCAUUUGAAAUAUUAAUAUGGGUCCAUAUUAAUAACAACCUUUCCCUUUCCUAAUCCAUCCAACACACUCUCAUAAAAGUUGAGGCACUCUUCAGAUGUCUAUCCACCCUUCUCAAGAUACUCAAGUCACAUAACACUUAACUAAAUUAACAAAUAUGUAAAAAGAAUGGAAUGGACAGGAGGAAGAACUGAAGAAAGGAAGGAGGUUUUUUUGUCUGAGAUUCCAGCUGCCUCAAGUAAUCAGAGAUGUUCCUGCACACUCUUUCAGUCCCCAAGAAGGUUGAAAAAGCCUUACAAAGAUGUCUUCAAACUUAUCCAGAUUCUCCUUUUUCAUAAAUGUGACUUUCUCCUUAGCUGCAGUCUUUUAGAAGUAAAUCUGCUGUUCAUCCCAGCUGUUUCUAGGUGUUGCUUUCUUCUUGGACACAGAUUUGUGAAACUGAUUGUGGAAGUCAUGCAAGCCAAUUGCAAGCCAAUUGCACUGGCAUCCUGUACAACCGAUGUAAGAUUUUUCUGGCAGUCUCCUCAAUAUUAGGUGAAACUGUCUUCCCAAAGUAGCUAGACCACAGUUUGUCCCACGUUUUGUCUUCAGUUAUACAUGGGAUCUUUUUUCCCAUACUUUUUUCACAGCUAGAAGGGGGCCCAUUUGGAUUUUUAAUUUUAUAAAAGCUGAAAAAAUCCCUUUCCCCCUUACACCUAUCCAAAGUAGCAGAGUCGCAACUGACACAUAUGAGUUACUUGGGGCAUAUAGAAGGUGUCAGAGGUAUGCACUGUUCGGUGAGCUCAAUUUACUGCCCAGGGAUCUGAGAUGCAAUUGGGACCAGUGCCUGACCCACAAAGAAUAACUGGCCACAGGAAUUCUUUUGGGUGGUUUCCAUGCCCCCCCCCCCCGUUUCAUAUUUAGAAAACACAUCUGAAUUGUUAUUUGCUGAUAUGAAUAUUCACAGUUACAUUCUUUGAUGAGCUUGCUUCCUGUUUCGGCUACAACUCAUCAAACUUCUCAUUACUUUUGGUCCAUAUUAGCCAACAUCCGUCUUGAUUGUUCAGGCCCAAACAUACCUUCUUUAGGGGCCUUUAUGUUUCCUUGUAAACAUUUCAGAAACGUUGGUUGUUGUUGUUUUUUAAAGGCAAAGCUGACAUUGUCCCACAAGCUUAGCCCAUCAGGAAGAAUACACCCCUGUACAGUGGUGCCCCGCAAGACGAAUGCCUCGCAAGACGGAAAACUCGCUAGACGAAAGGGUUUUCCGUUUUUUGAGCUGCUUCGCAAGACGAAUUUCCCUAUGGGCUUGCUUCGCAAGAUGAAAACGUCUUGCAAGUUUGUUUCCUUUUUCGUAAAACCGUUAAUACCCAGGGUGCAUUGCUUGAAGAGAUGCAGUUGCGACUUGACUUCGAGGAGCAACACAUAGCACGCGGUGUGGUAGCCUUUUUUGAGGUUUUUGAGGACUUUGCUGAUUUUUGAAGCUUUUCCAAAACUUCUUUUGCAGCCAUUUGGUAAGUUAAACUUUUAAAACUUUUUUGGGGGGUUUUGGAUUUUGGGUUGGGGUGUUUGGAAUUCAAGGACUUGGUGUUGGGGAGAGGUUUGCAAGAAUCUGGGAGCUUGUGUGGUUUUUUUCUGCAUUUUUAUGAUUUUUGUGACCAUUGGGGCACUCUGCUGUUUUUUAAAAAAAAAAAUUCUGGGUUUGAAUUUCUGUGUGGUGGGUGGCUGGGGGAACAGUUGAGGAGGGGUUUGCAAGAAUCUGGAAGCGUGUGUGUGUGUUUUGAAUUUUUAUGAUUUUCUGUGACCAUUGGGCCAUGUUGUUGUUUUUUCCCAAAAAAAUUUAUGAGUUUGAAUUUCUGUGUGGUGGGUGGGUGGGGAACAGUUGGGGAGGGGUUUGCAAGAAUCUGGGAGCUUGUGUGGGUUUUUUUUUUGAAUUUUUAUGAUUUUCUGUAACCAUUGGGCCAUGUUGUUUUUUUAAAAAGAAAAUUCUGAGUUUGAAUUUCUGUGUGGUGGGUGGCUGGGGGAACAGUUGGGGAGGGGUUUGCAACAGUUGGGGAGGGGUUUGCAAUUUCUGUGUGGUGGAUGGGUGGCUGGGGGAACAGUUGAGGUUUUUGAAGACUUUGGUGAUUUUUAAAGCUUUUCCAAAACUUCUUUUGCAGCCAUUUGAGGAUUUUGAAGACUUUGGUGAUUUGCAGCCAUUUCGUAAGUUAAACUUUUAAAACUUUUUUGGGGGGUUUUGGAUUUUGGGUUGGGUGUUUGGAAUUCAAGGACUUGGUUCUGGGUUUGAAUUCCUGUGUGGUGAGUGGGUGGGUGCUUUUGAAUUUUUUGGGUGUGAAGCACUGAUUUAUUUUUUUCCCUGAGUUUACGAAGCUAGGAGCUGUGCUGCCAUGGGACCCAAGAAGACUGCUGCUGCAGAGGCCGGCGAGAGGAAGAAGGAGAAGGUGACGCUGGAAAUGAAGAAGGAGAUCAUCCGGAAGCACGACGGUGGAAUGCGUGUGACAGACCUCGCCAGGGAGUACGGCAGGAACCCAUCGACCAUCGGCACCAUCCUGAAGAUGAGGGAGAAGAUCCUUGCGACUGAUGCAGCCAAGGGAGUCACCAGGAUCGUGAAGAACCGCCCAGCUGUUCUGGAGGAGGUCGAGAAGUUGCUGCUCAUCUGGUUAGAAAAGAAGCAGCGUGCAGGGGACACAGUGACUGAGGCCGUCAUUUGUGAGAAGGCCAAGGCCUUGCACGCAGACCUCGUCCGGGAACAGCCAGGAACCUCAGGCGAGCCAGAAGUCUUCAAGGCAAGCAGAGGCUGGUUUGACCGGUUCAAGACAAGAUCUGGAAUCCACAGCGUGGUCAGGCAUGGAGAGGCUGCCAGUUCUGAAGUUCCUGCGGCUGAAGAACUGAGGGACAUUUGCCAGAAGUGGAAAGAUGUGCAGGCUUUUGCACAGCGGCACUACCCUGACAAGGACCUGACACGUGACCUUGUGAACACUUUUGAUAUGAGGGUCAUGUCGCCUUUCAGGGAGGUGCUGAAAAGGCGGAUGAAGCAGCAGACCAUGGACAGGUUCUUCAGCAAGAAGCAAAGAGUGGAAGAGGAACCUUCUUC
Podarcis lilfordi (Lilford's wall lizard) is the source of this 4247-nucleotide non-coding RNA. Lineage: Eukaryota; Metazoa; Chordata; Lepidosauria; Squamata; Lacertidae. The record is from the annotation of a GenBank genome assembly.